CCGGCACCUGCGGCUAAGUGAAGAAACCCAAAACAGAAAGAUUGAUCGAGAGCAGGACAGAAGAGUCCUCCCUGAGGAGUGGCCCCAGUGGAUCCCCAGAUUCCCACAGAAGAUUCAGACAGCGAGAGAGAGGAGCCUCCAACAACGAGUGGCGGCCCAAGGUACCUCCAGACAUUUCCAAAUCAAGAACCGAUAGAUCUUUAAGGACAGUCAUUGAAGUGUUCACUUUUAAUGAGAUGUCACUGUUUGGAUUCUCUGUCUGAUAUGUGUAAAUGUGGCUCAAACUUGAAUCUAAUCUUGCAGAGUCCGCCUAAUACCCAUUGUGAAUAUGAU
Long non-coding RNA from Gadus chalcogrammus (walleye pollock), 333 nucleotides. RefSeq lists it as uncharacterized. The transcript is spliced from 4 exons. The record is from RefSeq and is a predicted model, not a curated record. Lineage: Eukaryota; Metazoa; Chordata; Actinopteri; Gadiformes; Gadidae.